Molecule: ribosomal RNA, 494 nt
Filed under: uncultured bacterium
Lineage: Bacteria
Description: partial 16S ribosomal RNA
Rfam family: Bacterial small subunit ribosomal RNA
Source: RNAcentral
GACGAACGCUGGCGGCGUGCCUAACACAUGCAAGUCGAACGGAGAAGCGCGUUCCUUUCUGGUCGGUGUGUAUGAGUGGCCAACGGGUUAGCAACACGUUAGCAACCUUCUCCCUCUUUCUGGACAACGGCAAGAAAGAGCUGCUAAUACGGGAUAUUUUGGGCCUGUUGCAUGAUGGGUCUGGGACAGUUUUUGUUUCGCUUGGGGAUGGAUCCGCGGCCUAUUAGCUUGUUGGUGGGGUGAUGGCCUACCAAGGCGGUGAUGCGUAGCCGCCCUGAGAGGGUUGGCGGUCACAGUGGGACUGAGACGCGGCCGAGACUCCUGGGGGAGGCAGCAGGGGAGACUAUUGCACAGUGGGAGAGAGCGUGGUGCAACGACGCCGCGGGAGGGAAGGAGGCCUUCGGGUUGUAAACCUCUUUCGCGAGAGAAGCAGGCGUGCAUCGUUUGUGGGUGGGUUGACGGUAGCUGGAUAAGAAGCGCCGGCUAACUACGUG